CUAGUUUAAAAAAUGUGUGGCGUGACCUGGUCAACCAACCAAGAUGGCCGCCACGGCUAAAAAUAGAACAAAGGGGUAAAAUGCAGUUUUUGGCUUAUAACUCAAAAACCAAAGCAUUUUGAGGAAAUCUGACGGGAUAAAAAUGUUUAUCAGGUCAAGAUCUAUCUGCCCUAAAAUUUUCAGAUGAAUCAGUCAAUCGGUUGUUGGGUUGCUG
This 214-nucleotide long non-coding RNA is filed under the name Mytilus galloprovincialis (Mediterranean mussel). Lineage: Eukaryota; Metazoa; Mollusca; Bivalvia; Mytilida; Mytilidae. The record is from RNAcentral.